RNAcentral lists this ribosomal RNA (253 nucleotides) under uncultured bacterium. Its description in RNAcentral is "partial 16S ribosomal RNA". It matches the Rfam family "Bacterial small subunit ribosomal RNA", at positions 524 to 776 of the family's 1533-position model. The record is from RNAcentral.
UACGUAGGGGGCAAGCGUUGUCCGGAAUCAUUGGGCGUAAAGAGCGUGUAGGCGGUUCAGUAAGUCUGCUGUGAAAGUCCAGGGCUCAACCCUGGGAUGCCGGUGGAUACUGCUGGGCUAGAGUACGGAAGAGGCGAGUGGAAUUCCCGGUGUAGCGGUGAAAUGCGCAGAUAUCGGGAGGAACACCUAUUGCGAAGGCAGCUCGCUGGGACGUUACUGACGCUGAGACGCGAAAGCUAGGGGAGCGAACAGG